UUUUAUGGAGAGUUUGAUCCUGGCUCAGGACGAACGCUGGCGGCGUGCCUAAUACAUGCAAGUCGAGCGGAAAUUUUAUUGGUGCUUGCACCUUUAAAAUUUUAGCGGCGGACGGGUGAGUAACACGUGGGUAACCUACCUUAYAGAUUGGGAUAACUCCGGGAAACCGGGGCUAAUACCGAAUAAUACUUUUUAACACAUGUUUGAAAGUUGAAAGACGGUUUCGGCUGUCACUAUAAGAUGGACCCGCGGCGCAUUAGCUAGUUGGUGAGGUAACGGCUCACCAAGGCAACGAUGCGUAGCCGACCUGAGAGGGUGAUCGGCCACACUGGGACUGAGACACGGCCCAGACUCCUACGGGAGGCAGCAGUAGGGAAUCUUCCACAAUGGACGAAAGUCUGAUGGAGCAACGCCGCGUGAGUGAAGAAGGAUUUCGGUUCGUA
RNAcentral lists this ribosomal RNA (443 nucleotides) under Solibacillus silvestris. Its description in RNAcentral is "bacterial SSU rRNA". It matches the Rfam family "Bacterial small subunit ribosomal RNA", at positions 1 to 427 of the family's 1533-position model. Lineage: Bacteria; Bacillati; Bacillota; Bacilli; Caryophanales; Caryophanaceae. The record is from RNAcentral.